CUGACUCACCACCCCCCGGGAGUCAGUGAAGGCUUCCCCGAGGAAGCAGUGUUUGAGCUGAGCCUUGAAACAGAAGUAAGAAGACUCCAGGAGAAGGCUGCAGUAGAGGCUAGAGCUAUUUUUCCUGGCAACAGACCCAGAGAGAAGCUCAACACUUGGAGUAUGAAAGGAGAGUUGGAAAGAAAUCAACUGUGGAAUAACUGCGUGAGUCAUAGUCCAUGUUCUCCUUCCCUGCAUCACAUGCUCAGGCUAAAACCAGAGGACUAAUAUUUAAAAUAAUUGAAUAGUCUUCGUGAGAAGGAGCCCUAGUUGGGGUGAUGCCUCAUCUGAGUAAACUUCUUCCCAUUUUUGCUGGGAAGUGGGAGAAGUAGGGAGGGGGACCUCCAACCUCCUCUUCUUUCACUACAAGGUCUAAAGCAAAGGCUUCCAGUGACAGCCACUUGUGUAGACAAGAGAGAGCUGGACAAGGCCGAGCUAUCUGCAUUGAAUGAGGUGACCUACCUCAGUUGUAGGUAUGAAUCUAUAGCCAAGGAUUAUGAAAACCUGAAGAAAAAUGAGGACAAAAGAGCAGGUUGAGAGAAAAAAUACACUGACUCUGGAGGAAAUAGAUAAUUCAGGACAUAGAAAAUUCUUUAAAGUUAUUCUAUGUAGUAUCCUCAUGGAAACAAAGUCAAGAGAAAGCAUUUUUAGUGCAAAAUUAGAUUGCUAAGAAAGAACAACUAAAACAAAAUAAAUAGUUAUUAAAAUGAAAAAGUAAUUGUUAAAGUUAGAUAUUCAAGGGAAGACCUGGGAGAAAAAGUUGAAGAAACUGCUCUAAAUGUAGUGCAAAAAGAUAAAGGAUGGAAAAUGUGGGAGAAAAGUGAAGAGAUUAGAGAAGCAUCCAAAGGGAUGUUCAGAAAGAGACAAAACAAAGAAUAAGAGAGAAUUUUCCAUAAGUGAGGAAAUAGGACUUGAGAUUGUAAGAACCCUAGAGAAUGCAAAAUAGGAUGAAUGAACAAACUUAGCCCAAGGCACAUUCUUGUGACAUUUUAGAUAUUGAGAAUAAAGGGAAGAGUCUAAAAGCCAAAAGAAUAGAUUACUCAGUGAGAAUCCAAUUGGUAUUAGAUAGAUCAUCAGCAACUGUAAAUGCUAAGAAAAACAAAACAAGAAGCAUGCCUUCAAAAUGUGUAAAAUAAAGUUUUUUGAACCUAAAAUUCUCUACUUAGCCAAACUAUCAAUCGAUCAAGAGUGAGGCAUUUUCAAGCAUGCAAGAACUCAGACCAUUUACCACCCACAGACUAUUUCUGAAAGAAUUACUGAAGCAAAACAAAAAAGAAUCCAAGUAGGAGGAAGCCAUGGCCUCUAAGGAACAGUGGAUCUUACCCAAGAUUGUAAUGGAAUAUAAUUCCAGGAUGACAACCUUGAGGCAGGCCUAGAAAGCCAUCAGUCUGAAUUAGAACCAGAAGUCAGAUGCUCUGUGAAGAAUCUCUUUCAGGAGGACAUGGAUUUCUUCUAUAAAUUGAAUGACUGGGAAGCUGAGUGGUCUUGUGACAAGGCAAAGGCAUGGUAGGUCAUUGUGAUAAGGUAUCAUCCAAACACUCUCCAAACUGUGAAGUAAUUUUCUUCUUCCAAUAGCAAAGGUUUAUUGACAAGAGUUACGUCUCCUCUAUAGGCUCAAGGGCACAGCUGUGCUUGGUUCUGCAGUGAACAAUGAUCUCCCUACGAAUAUUAUGAAUGCUACUUUUCAGUUUUCAGUUUAAAAAAUCAAUUUAUAGACAAUGCAUCAAAGAUUAAUUGUAGUUAUAGGACAAGUGUGAAAACAAUAGUACACUGGAAUGGAGGUUAGGAGAGAGGGAAGGAGCAAAGGAACAAGAUGUAAUGAUGUUGGAUUCUUUUCAUCAGAAAUAAAAAGAAUUAAGAGAUAUUGUGUCUACAUUUGAGAAGUCAAAAUAGGGUUUCAAGUAUCUUAUAUAAAUUUGUUAAUUCUAGUGAUAUCACACUGAGGCAGUAUAACAUAGUCGUUAAGAGCAUGGAUCCUGGAGCCAGAACACCUGCGUUUGAAUUUUUGCCACACACUUCAAUUUGGGCAAAUUGCUUAUCUGUGCCUUGGUUUUCUCAGCAAAAAUUGAAAAUAAAUAGUUAAUAUUUCACAAAGUUAUUUGAAAAUAAAAACUGUUGAUAUAUAUAAAGUGCUUAGAACAGUCUUUGGCACAUAAAAAAUUAUUCUAUAUCAUCAUAUGUUACCGAUGAUAACGAUGAUGAUGAUGAUGAUGGAAAACAACUAAACAUCUGGAGAAAAGGGAACCCUUGUACCCUGCUGGUGGGAAAGUAAAUUAGUACAUUGAUUAUGGAAAACAGUCUGGAGGUUCCUCAGAAAAUUAAAAAUAAAUCUACAUAUUACCCAGAAAUGGGAUUUCUGGGUAUAUAUGCAAAGAAGAUGAGAUAAGUAUGCCAAAGAGACAUCUGCACUUUCAUGUUCACUGCAGCAUUAUUUACAGUAUCCAAGAAAUGAAAUCAAUGUAAGUGUCCAUCAGUGGAUGAAUGGGUAAAGAAAAUGCGGGGAGGGGGAUUAGGAAGAUGUUGGUCAAAGGAUACAAGGUUUCAGUUAGACAGGAGGAAUACAUUCAGGAGAUCUAUUGUACAACAUUGUGGCUAUAGUUAAUAACAAUGUUUUAUAUUCUUGAAAGUUGCUCUAAGAGAAUAGGUUUUAAGUGUUGUCACCAUAAAAAUGUUAAGUAUGUGAGCUAAUGCAUAUGUUAAUUCGCUCAAUUUAGCUAUUUCACAAUAUAUACAUAUUUUAAAACAACAUAUUGACAUGAUAAAUAUAUACAAUUCUUUGUCAGGUACAAAGUUAAACGAAAAUACAACACAAAACAUUGAAAAAGUUAAAAAAUAAAAAUUUAAUGGGCAGAGAUCAGAAAAGGGAGGUAGUAGCUUGAGAAAAUUUAUUUUUUCAAUUUUUUUAAAAUGAGAGAUCAACGAAUGUUUAAACUUGACAAAUUAGUAAAGAGAGGCAUAACCAUAUUCAGCGUUAUGGAAGCAAUCUUCAGAGAAAUUUCUAUUUUGUCCUAUUUUAAGGGUUUUUAAAAAUUCAUAUGCAAGCACUACUUUUAUUUAGUUUUUACCAAUUUUACUGAGGUGUAAUUGACAUACAAUAAACUGCACAUAUUUAAAGUGAACAGUUUGAUACAUUUUGGACUUAGGUACACACCCCUGAAACUAUCACAGUAAUCAAGAUGAUGAACAUAACCACCAACCAUCAUGCUCUAAAGUUUCUUCAUGCACCUUGAUAAUCUCUUCUUCCUACCUCUUCCCACUCCCCCAAUCUCAGGCAACCACCGUUCUGCUUAUGUGACAAUAAAUUGGCUUGCAUUUCCUAGAAUUUUAUAUCAAUGAAAUCAUAUAGUAUGUACUCUUACAUCUGACUUCUUUCAUUCAGCAUAAUUAUUUUGAGAUUAUUCACACUAUACUGUGUAACAAUACAUUCAUUCUGUGGAUAAACCACAAUUAACAAAUUUACUUGUUGAUGGAAAUCUAGUUUUUGUUUUGCUUUUUCCAGUUUUUGGCUAUUACAAAUAGAACUGCUGUGAUCCUUCAUGUACAAGUCUUGGUAUGGGCUGGGAUUUCAUUUCUUUGGGAUAAAUACUUAGAAGUGGAAUGGCUGGAUUAUAUGAUAGGCAUAUGUUUAAAUUUUUAAGAAACUGUCAAACUGUUUUCCAAAGUGUUUUACAGUAUAUGAGAAUUCCAGUUUCUCCACAUCCUUAUCUUGGCAGUCAACUCUAUCAGCCAUUCUGACAGCUAUGUUGUGGUAUCUUAUUGCAGUCUUAUUUUACAUUUCCUUGGUGACUAUUUAUAUUGACUAUCUUCUCAUGUUUUUGUUUGUCAUCUGUAUAUCUUUAUGGAAAAGUAUCUGUUCAGAUAUUUUGGUCGUCUAAAAAAUUGUUUUUUUUUUUCUUUUUAUUGAGAUUUCAGUUUUCUUUAUGUAUUUUGGAUACAAAGCUUUCAUUAAAGAUAUGAUUUACAAAUGUUUUCUUCCAAUCUGUAGCUUGACUUUUUAUUCUUUUAACAGUGCCUUCUGAAGAAUAGAAAUUUUUUAUUUUGGUGAGGCUCAAUCUUUACCUUUUUUCCUUUCAUGGAUUGUGCUUGGGUGUUAUGUUUACCAAAUAUUUGCAUAACCUAUGAUCACAAAGAUUUUCUAUUGGGUUUAGUGUUAGGUUUUGUAUUGAAGUCUGUGAUCAGUUUAAAGCUAAUCCUUGUGUGUGGUUGAAACAAAAUUAAUUUUUUUUGCAUACAUGUAUUCAAUUGUUCCAACGCCAUUUGUUGAGUCUCUCCUUUCUUCACCAAAUUGCCUUUGUACUUUUGCCAAACAUCAGUUGCUGAAAUAUGUGUUGGUCUAUUUAUGGACUCUAUUUUGUUCCAUUGAUAUAUUUGUUUAUCUUGAUUCUAAUAUCAGACUGUAUUGAUUAGUCUUAUAAUAAGCCUUGAAAGUACACAGUUAGUUCUCCAACUUUGCUUUUCUUUGUCAAAAUUGUUUUGGCUCUUUUUUUUUUUUUUUUUUUUUUUUGAGAUGGAGUCGUGCUCUGUUGCCCAGGCUGGAAUGCUGUGGCGCAAUCUCAGCUCACUGCAGCCUCUGCCUCCUGGGUUCCAGCAAUUCUCCUGUCUCAGCCUCCCUAGUAGCUGGGAUUACAGGCGUAAGCCACCAUGCCUGGCUAAUUGUGUGUGUGUGUGUGAGUGUGUGUGUGUGUGUGUGUGUGUAUUUUUAGUAGAGAUGGGGUUUCACCAUGCUGGCCAGGCUACUCACGACCUCCUGACCUCAGGUGAUCUGCCUGGCUCAGCCUCCCAAAGUGCUGGGAUUACAGGCUUAAGCCACUGUGCCCAGCCUGUUUUGGCUCUUAUAGGUCCUUUGCAUUUCCAUAUGAAUUGUAGAAUCAGCUUGUUGAUUUCUACAAACAAACCUUUUGAGAUUUUUAUUGGGAUUGCAUUGGGUCUGUAGAUCAAUUCAGGAGGAACUGACAUCUUAACAAUAUGAAGUCUUCUCACCCAUACCAAUGUACAUCUCUCCCAUUUAUUUAGGCCUUCUUUAAUUUUUCUCAGCGGUUUUGUAAUUUGUAAUGAAAAGAGCUUGCCUAUAUUUGUUAGAUUUUUUCCCUAAAUAUUUCAUAAUUUCAUCCCAUGGUGUUAUUUUUAAAAUUUCAUUUUCCAAUUAUUUGUUGACAGAAUAUAAGAAAUAAAAUUUAUUUUUGCAUAUUGAUGGCAUAUUCUGUGAAAUUGCUAAGCUCACUUAUUAGUCCUGCAAGUUGUUUUUAUAGAUUUCUUCAGUUUUUUUACAUAGAUGAUCAUGUUGUUGGCAAGGAAAGACAGUCUUACUUCUUAUCCAAUCUGGAUGCUCUUUAUUUCUUUUUCUUCUAUGACUGCACUGGCCACAAUCUCCGAUACAGUACUGAAUAGAAGUUUGAGAGCAAGCAUCCUUGUCUUGUUCCUGAUCUUAGAAGGAAAGCAUUCAGUCUUUUGCCAUUAGGUAUGGUAUUAGUUAUACUUUUUUGUAUAUGCCCUUUAUCAGGUUGAGGAAGUUCCCAUUUAUUUUAGUUUACUAUAAAUUUUCAUCGGGAAUGGCUGUUGGAUUUUGUCAUUUUUUUUAAAUCCACUGAUAUAAUCAUGUGGUUUUUCUUCUUUGAUAUGUUAAUAAAUUACAUUGAUUUUUUAUUAUACCAAUCUUGCAUUCUUAGGAUGAGCCCCUCUUAGUCAUUAUGUAUUACCCUUUUUAUGUGUUGUUGGAUUUGAUUCCUUAAAAUAUUGUUUUGAACGUUCACAUCUAUGUUCAUGAGAUAUAUUGCUCUGUGGUUUUACUUCUUUUCAUGUCUUUGUUUGGUAUUUAGAGUAUUUAGCUCACCAUAUAGAAUGAGUGGCGAGUUAUUACCUUGUCUUCAAAUUUUUGGAAGAGUUUAUACAGAAUUGAUAUUAUUUCCUUCUCAAAAUGUUUGAUAUAAUUCUCCACUGAACCUGAGUCUGGAGUUUUCUUUGUAGGAAGCUUUCUAUCUACAAAUCCAAUUUAUUUCACAGAUAUUGGGUUGUUCACAUUAUCUUUUUCUUUUUAAACGAGAUUUGGUGGUUUGUGUCCUUUGAAAAAUUAAAAGUGCUCAACAUCAUUGAUCAUCAGAGAAAUGCAAAUCAAAAGUACAAUGAGAUAUCAUCUCACUUCAAUUAAAUUUGCUUAUAUCCAAAAGACAGGCAAUAACAAAUGCUGUUGAAGAUGUAGAGAAAAGGGAGCCCUUCUACACUGUUGGUGGGGAUGUAAAUUAGUACAUCCACUAUGAAGAACAGUUUGGAGGUUCCCCAAAAAGCUAAAAAUAGAGCUACUAUAUGAUCCAGCAAUCCCACUGCUGGGUAUAUAUCCCAAAGAAAGGAAAUCAGUAUAUCAAAGAGAUAUCUACACUCCCAUGUUUGUUGCAGCCCUGUUCACAAUAGCCAAGAUUUUGAAGCAACCUAAGUAACCAUCAUCAGAUGAAUGCAUAAAGAAAAUGUGGUACAUAUACACAAUGGAAUACUAUUCAGUCAUCAAAAAGAAAGAGAUACUGUCAUUUGCAACAAUGGAUGAAACUGGAGAUCAUUAUGUUAAGUGAAAUAAGCCAGGCUCAGAAAGAUAAACAUCACACUUAUCUGUGAGAUGUAAAAAUUAAAACGAUUGAACUCAAACAGAGAGAGUAGAAGGAUGGUUAUCAGAGGCUAGGAAGGGUAGUGGGGGGCUGUGGAGGAGGUGGGGGUGGUUAAUGGGUAUAGAAAAAUAGAAAGAAUGAAUAAGACCUACUGUUUGAAAGCAGAACAGUGUGACUGUAGUCAAUAACAACUUAAUUGUAUAUUUUUAAAUAACUAAAAGAGUAUAAUUCGAUUGGUUGUAACUCAAAGGAUAAAUGCUUAAAGGGAUGGAUUCCCCAUUCUCCAUAUAUGAUUAUCACACAUUGCAUGCCUGUAUGACAUCUCAUGUACCCCAUAAAUAUAUACACCUACUAUGUACCCCCCAAAGUUUUAAAAAAUUAUUUCAUUUCAUCAAAGUUGUCAAUAAUUUUGGCAUUUGAACUUCCAAUAGUGUGAAAAUUAAAAAAUAAUAAUUUUGGCAUAAAGUUGUUCACAACAUACUCAUUAUCCUAUUAAUAUCUAUAGCAUCUGUAGUGAUUUCACCUUUUUUAUUCCUGAUAUUGGUAAUUUCUGUUUUCCAUUUUUGUCCUUAUCAGUCUGACUAGACACCUAUUAUUUUUAUUGACCUUCUCUAAUAUUCAGCUUUUGGCUUCAUUAAGCUUUAUUGUUUUUGUGACUUCUAUUUCAUUGAAUUCCACUCUGAUCUUUAUUAUUUCCUUUCUUCUGCUUACUUUGCAUUUUAUUUUUUCUUCUUUUUCUGGCUUCUUAAGGGGAAGCUGAGAUCAUGGAUUUGAGAAAUUUCUUCUCCGUUACUGGAGGUAUUUAAUACUAUAAAUAUAAUACUAGUACUAUAAAUUUUAGUACUAUACAUGUAAUACUAGUACUAUAAAUUUUAGUACUAUAAAUUUUCCCCUGAAGUACUUCUUUAGUGCCAUCCACAAAUUUCAAUAUGUUAUUUUUUAAAUUUUCAAUUAGUUCAGCAUACUUUCUAAUAUGCCUUUUGAUUUCUUCUUUUAUCAAUGGGGGUGUUUAGAAGUGUAUUAUUUUGUUGGCAAGUAUUUGGGAAUUUGCCAUAAAACUUUUUAUUAUUGAUUCCCAAUUUAAUUCCAUUAUAGUUAGAAGAAAUAUUCAGUUGGGCUUGAAUUCAUUCAUACAUAUUGAGACAUGUUUUAUGGUCCACAAUAUAGACUAUCAUUUUAAUGUUCCAUGUGCAUUUGAAAAAAAAAUGUGUUAUACAGCUGUUGUUUGGUGAGGUGUUCUAUGCCAAUUUGUCAUGUUGGUGGGUAGUUUGGUUCAAGUCUUCUAUAUCUUUACUGAUAUUGUUCUAUUAUUAUUGAGGGGUAUUGAUAUAUUUGUCUAUAGUUGUAGAGUCAUCUAUUUCUCUUUGCAGUUAAAUGAAUUUUUGCUUCCUGUAUUUUAAAUUGAUUUUAUUAGGUACAUAAGCAUUUAGGAUUGUUACGUACUCUCAAUGAAUUCACCCCUUAUUCAUUAUGAAACGAACUUCCUUGUUCCCAGUGAUAUUAAUAUUGUUUGCUCUUGCUCUGACAUUCAUAUAGCCACUUCAGCUUCCUUUUGAUUAGUCUUAGCAUGUUAACCUGGCUGUUCAGGCUACCAUAACAAAACAGCACAGGCUGGGUAACUUAAACAACAGACAUUUAUCUUUCCACAGUUCUGAAGACUGAAGUCCAAGAUCAAGGUGCCAGCAGAAUUGGUGUCUGGUGAGGUCUCUCUUCUUGUCUUGCAACUGGCUACCUUCUUGUAGUGUCCUCACACAGCUUUCUCUGUGUGCAAGCAGAGAGCAGGCUGGGGAGAGAGAGGAAGAGAGCAAGUUCUGGUGUCUCUUCCUUUCCAGUUCUGUUGGAUUAGAGUCCCACCCUUAUAUCCUCAUUCGACUUUAAUCACUUCCUUAAUGCCCUUAUCUCAAAAUACAGUCAAAUUGGGGGUUAAGAUUUCAUCAUAUGAAUUUUGGAGAGACACAAUUCAGUCCAUAGCAGCAUGGUAUAUCUUUUCCAUCCUUUUACAUAUAACUCAUUUUCUUUUAGUAUGUGAAGUGUUUUUCUUAUAGGAAGAGUAGAGUUGAAUUUUGCAUUUUUACCCAGUCCUAACAAUCUCAGUUGGGGGGUCAAAAUAAUAACAACAUUUAAUGUGAUUAUUGAUAUGCUAAGGUUUAAAUUUAUCACCUUGCUAUCUGCUUUCUAUUUAUUCCAAGUGUUAUUUGUUUUCCCUUUGUACUUUUUCUGCCUUCUUUUGGAUUAUUUUUAUUAACUCAUUUUAUCUUCUCUGUUGGUUUAUUAACUACAACUUUGAUGGAUACACACACACACACACACACACACACACACACACGUGUUAUUUUGACUCCCCCAGUUGAGAUUGUCAGGAUUGCAUAAAAAAGCAAAAUUCAACUCUAUUCUUCCUAUAAAAGAAAAAUACUUCCCAUACUAAAAAAAAAAAAAAAGGUUAAAUGUAAAAGGUUGGAAAAGGUACACCAUGCUGCUAUGGACUGAAUUGUGUCUCUCCAAAAUUCAUAUGGCAAAACCUUAACCCCCAAUUUGACUGUAUUUUGAGAUAAAGGGAUACAUUAAAAUACAUUUAAUCUCAAACAUAUUUUUUCAUUUCUAGAAGUUUGAUGUAUACAUUUUAAAUAUCUUUUAGUGUCUCUACUUAAGUUUUUGAACAUAUAUAGCUGUAAUAGCUGUUUUAAUAUCCUUGUUUGUUAAUUUUAACAUCUGCCUCAGGUUUGGUUUGGUUUCAGUUGAUUGUUGUCCCUUCAUUAUGGUCAUGUUUUACUGCUUCUUUGCCUUCCUGGUCAUUUUUUUAUUGUAUGCCAGACAUUGUAUAUUUUUUUCCUAUUGAGUGUUGAAUUUUUUUAUUUCUAUAAAUAUUCUUGAGCAGUUGAGUUGUUUGGAAACAGUUUGUGUUUGGGGAUCAAACCUUUAUGAUUUGUUAAUCAGGACCAGAGAAGUGUUUAGUUUAGGGCUAAUUAUGCUCCACUACUGAGGCAAGAUUUCUUUGAGUACUCUACCAAGUGAUUCAUGAAUUAGGAGAUUUUCUAGUCUAGCUGAUGAAAGUAAGCCCUUUUCCAGUCAUGUGUAAGAACUUGAUACUGUUCCCCUUAAUCCUGUGGGAUGGUUCUUUUCCUUAUCUGCGGUUGUUUCCUCUUAUGCAUGUGAUAAUCAGUAGUGUGAUGAAUACUUGAGAGGAUCCCUUUACAGAACUUGCCAUCAUAUUUUUCAUAGAGAAUAUCUUGCAUUAGCUGAUUGAAAUAUUUAUUCUUGAUUGGUACUUGGCAGUCCUGUUUACUACCUGUCCUGUAUAUGGAAUAUCACUGCCAACUUUAGCGGGGGGGGAUGGGACUGGGUGGGCAGUUCCUGCAAAAACUUCAAAUGACUAAUUAGAAAUGUCAGUGGCAUUUUCUCCCUCAGAAACAUCGCUGUUUAGGAUCGUGAAUUUUCUUUUACUCAUAUUUGAUUCGAUUAUCUUUCUUUCAAAGAAUUUUUCUAGAAUGAAUAUUUUACUUGUAUAUUAGGAAUAGUUUUUAAAUAAUCAGAACACAACUGCUCUCCUCAAUUAUCAUCAUUCUCAUUACUCAUUCCAUUUCUCUGGCUGGCAGCCUAUGGACCACUGGAAGGCCCGGCCAGGGGUGUGGUCAUCAGGACUUCCCAAAAGCACAUCUCCUUCCUCUGUGGCUUGACUGUGUGCCUCUCCUCUCGAGCUGCAACUGUACCAUGGGUCUCCCUUCCAGAUCAAAAGGAAGAUCCCGACCGCAGUCCUUUGGAAUAAGAUUUGCUAGUAUUCAGUGUUCUUUCUUGUGUCUCAACUCAUAUCCAUAUUUUCUUCUCAGAAUUCCAUAGGUUUAGCCCUUUGGGGGUUUUUACUUUUUUCUUCUUAUUUUUUAAACUGCCUGUUCCUACUUUAUGCUGUGUUUUACCCAUAUUUAUGUCAUUUUAAUCAGUUCCAUAAGACUGUGUUUGAACUCCCCACCUCCACUUGCUUUUGUUUUGGGUGAUGACUGUGCUGUCCACCUCUGCCACUUGUUUCAGGCCCUACUACUUUUUCCCUCCAAUGUUCCUUCUUUUGUGUCUGCCAUCUAUUAUUGCUGAAUCCGUUAUUGUCUUCUUAUUUUAUUUUCUCCUCUUCUUCCUUCAGUGGAUGUCUUGAGAUGUUCUUGCUUCUUAUGUUCCAUGUUUGCUGACAUAGGGCAAAACUAAGAAUCUGCGACAAGACAAGCUGCUUUUUCCUCUAUCAAAGCUGCCUUCUUCUGGCAGCUGUCCUUCAUUCUCAAUUACUUUAUCUACUCUUUUUUGCCUUUUUCACAUCCAACCUGUAAUCUAUAUUUUCCUUUCUUCAGCUAAAUCUUAAACUGUUAAAAUAGAGCCUGACAUGUAGUACACAUUCAGUAAAUAUCUGUUGAAUAAAAGAAAACAAUAAAUGAAUGAAUGGUUGUUUGGUAAUUAUCGCCUCAGUUGUUGAUUCUUUGCUUUUAUUUUAGUUCCUGGAAGCUGGUCUGCCUGGAUCAGCAUUGCGUGUGGUGCAUAUUUUUAUGUAGUUUGCAUUACCUCAUGCCCCACAAAGACCACACAUUUCUUACUAUACAGGAAGUGCUGUUGCAUCCUGGGCUUCUAUAUGCAUAGUGAUUUUCCUUACCAUGUGUGUUGAUGUGUUUUUAAAGUGGGAAGUGGAGGCUUUUGUGCAUAGAAAGGAACCAUGUAUAGGUAUUUGAAUAUUAAAAUAACAUUUAAUUAAUUUAAGUUGCAAACGAAACUAUAAUUUUCUUAGGACUUUAAGUUCACUUUGUGAUUUUGAUUUUACUUAUAAACUAAGUAAUUUUUACAUAAUUUGAAAUCAUCCUUCCACUUAUUUAAUUCAAUUUUAGCGGAUUAAAAUCCUUUAUAGUCAUAGUAAUAAGCCAUCAAUUAAGUUCCCCUAAAAUUUUAAAAACACUUCUAAUUUAUUAUAUCAAGCAACUGAGUUGCCUCACAAGGCCAACUUAAGCCUCAAAAAGCAAAAUCAAAGAAAUUGUAAAUCUCAUAAUUCACCCUUAAAACCAUAAUGAGUCAAAAUAUUCAAAUACUGUCUAUAAACAUUAUCAAAUUAUCAACUCUGUGACUUAAGAUAAUGAGAAUAAAAUUGAUUAUAAAUUUCACAUAGAAGUUAUGAAGAUCAAUUUGUCAGAUUUCCUAAUGUUAGGUUUUAUUAAACAUUACUAAUACUUUAAACACAAAAAUUAUAACUUCUGUUUCUAAACCUAUUUAACAGUAUUAAUGCUUUGGGUGGGUCCAAUUUACUUCAUGAUCUUUAUGUUCAAUUUUUAGCACUCCUAUAAUUGUAAAAUCAUUUCCCUAUGAAGGGGAGCAGUUUUACCAUCCCAGCUGGGCUGCGGUUACGCGGUUGAAAGACCUGGGGCUGUGAUAUAGUUACUUAUUUAUCAGAUGUUUAAGAUAAACAUGGUUCAUAGGCUACAAACUUCUAGAAUGAUUCUGCCCAAGCCACAGACAGACACACUGAGUCUUUUUCUAUAUGCUGUGUCCAUGAGGGGCCAAGAUCCUGUCUUUUUGUUGGGAUUGAUUUGGCAGACAAUGUCUCCUGGGCAUUUUAACCCCAUAUUGUACUUUUUCCCAAAUCUUUUAUAACACCUUAAAACAUUAAUUAUCUUAUCUUUUCUAGGUGGAGAUUUGUGUACCUUAUUUAGGUUGCCACAAAUUGCUUUUAUCACUUGGUUAAAGUCUUCAUUUCUUUCACAUUUUUUUUUCAGCUUGACUUUAAAUCUUGUGUACAAAUCCAAAAUUUGAACAUUAACUGGGAGUUUUAUGACAUUAAGGAAUUACUGUUCACCAUUCUUUUAGGGGUGAUCAUGGUAUCAUGGGUAUUUUAAAGAGUCUUUAUCUUUUAGAGAUAUAUUCAGAAAUAUUUACUGAUGAAAAUACAAGUAAAACACAAGUCAAUAAAUCACAUUAGACCCAAAGUAUUCCAUUCAUGCAAAUCCUCAGGAUCACAAUGAUUUAGAAAAGGUGAAAUCCAGAGGCCAGAGCAGGGUCCUUCCCUAAUCAGCUUUAUCUUUCAUGCUUUUCUUAAUCAAAUGAAAAGAAUCCCAAUUCGAGUUAAAGUAGCAAAAUCUCCCCUCUGCCCUCUCCGCUCUCUCAUUUCCCCUCUCCCCUCACUUUUGAUUCUUUUUGCCUAGGUUUGGACCUAAUGUUUAGUCUUGUUCCACAUGGUGGCAAGAAGGCUUCAGGUAGCUCCAGGGUUGUAUGGUGCUGACAGCUAGCAAUCUCAAAAGGAGAAACUCAGUGGCCAGCAUCCAUGACAAUUACUCCAGAGAGCACUGAUUGGCCAUGCUUGGGUCAUGUGUAUUCCUCUGGACCAAUCACUGUGACUCAGGAAAUGGGGUGUUCUGAUUGAACACCCUGGAUCACAGGGUAGUGGGAGAAGCAGGGCCCUUUGAUCCAUAGACUCAAGAGAAUGAUUUGGAGUUCGGGAGGGGCAGUUUUCUGCAGUAAGGAACACCAGACAAACAAAAAAGUGGCAGAUGCCCAUUACAGAACAAAAUAUAUUCAGACAAUUUUGUGAGAUUCAUGUAUAUCAAGUCUUUGGCUGUUCCUGCUGCCAGCUACAAUCGUUGUCUGUCCCAAAUGGAAAGGCACUUGGCGGCUGAUUAACUCAAUCCCUUCUUCCUUGGCAUAGCACUAUUUCAUUUUUGUAUUGCUCAGUUCCAAAUCUGUCUUUUACUUUUCCUGGAACUGCUAAUACAUUACAGUCUUUAUCCAAGUCACACAAGGUCUUCUAUAUUUGUUUUUAAUUUGGAAUCAUCUCCAAGUUUUUCCAGAAUUCUAUGUUCUUUCCUAUAGAUAUAUAUUCUCCAGGAUAACUCCUGUUUCCCAGCUAAGCCAACUUCCUGGGGAUUUGAAUUACUGAAAAGAUGUCCCUUUAGGCUCAUCCCAAUUCAUGUAAUAAAUUGAGUCCCAGUGCAUAAUCUUACAGUCAGCUGCUUUUAAAAUGAAUUCUAAACUCAGUUGAGUUUCCAUUCAAGAGGCAUUUCCUAUUCCUACUUUUAUCUUCCCCUGUCAGAAAAUGCAGAGCUGCUUCUAGUUUCCUGUCCUCCUGGGAUGCUGCUGCUGCUGCUGAUGAUGAUGAUGACAAUUAUAAUAAGAAGGUAGUUAAUAUUUACUAAGUAAAUUAGUGCUGGCAUUGUGCUAGGUAUUUAGUGCAAUCUCUCUUUUAAUCCUGACAAUGUGCCAUAAGGCAGAUGUCAAACCCCAAUUUUACAUAGAGGGAAAUAGGCUCAAAGUGGGGACUUACUCCAGGUCACACAGCCAGUAGGUGGACUAUCUGAGAUUUGAAACCAGGUCAAUCCAACCCCAAAUGCCACGCUCUUUAUCCCUGUGGUUAGACACAUGAAACUAUCACCUUUCUUUCCCUUUUCUUAUUCCUCCUCCCCCAUCUUACUGGUUUUGCUUUCCUUUCCAGCCCCUUCCAAUUCUUUUAUCUUUUUUCCUUCCUCUCUUACACAAAGGUUUAAUUUGCCUUCCCCAUAGUAGGCACUUAAUAGAAAGUUGUUGAAAUAGUUGUGUUGCCAAUUUAUUGAACAGUCUAAAUUUAUGCUUCCAUAUUGAUGGUCAUUGGAUCCCUUCAACCACCUCUGUAAGGAAAUCUAGGUGUUAUUCCUAUUUCAUGCAUCAGAAAAUUAAACAUAGACAAUGAAAGAAUAACAGACAUGUAGGGUCAACUCGUUUUAUCGGAAUGAGGGGUUAAAGCCAUUGAACAGGUCAUGCCCUAAUAGACUAUGCCCUAAUAGACUCUUGAAAACCUGAAAAAGCAAGCGAUUGAUCUGCCUCAUUUAGAAUAAAUGCCCAAGUCCUUUCCAUGGUCUGAGCCUCUUCCUUUUUGUCCUUUUUAUAUUCUCAGCCUCCGGGCCCCAGGCUGUUUCUCCCAUAGGCAAGCUUUUACCUCAGGGUUCUGCUCUACCCCUAUUGUCUCCACCUGGAGCUCUCUCCCUCAGAAGUCAACAAGGCACUCUCUCUCUCUCACCUCUUUCAAGUCUUUGCUCAAAUGUCUCCUUAGUGAGGGCUUCCUUGGCUACCAUAUUUAAGGCUUCCAUGGCUACCAUAACUAGGCUACUCAGUUCCUAUAGGAUUCCCUUUCCCCUUUCCUGUUUUACUUUUCUCCGUAGAACUUUCCACUUGUUAAAUUAAUAUCAUUAUUUAAAAUUUUCUGAAUUUAAAGAAUGUUUGUUCCAUUAGGACAGGAAUUUUGCCUGUUUUCUUUACUAGUAUACAGUAGGUACUCAAUAAAUUUUCACGGAAUGGAUGAAUGAAUAAAUGCAGAUUUUCAUUCAUUCAUUUAUUCAAGAGACAUUGACCACACAGGAGAUGAGCUACCUGUCCUCCUGCCUGCUUUGUUUGAACACCUCAAGGAGGAAGGCUAAUAAAAGUCCAAUGCCAAAUAUGAAAAUAAAUAUCGCAGUCAGAUGUUGAGUAAUAAAAAGUAGUGUAAAAUUGCUGUCUUAAUCGCUAUGCCAUUGGAGAAGCCCACUUUAAGACAAGGAAAGAUCUGUAAGCCAGGGUCAGCCAGGGAAAGAUAGGAAAGGAAUUCUAGAGACAGAAUCCUUUCCCUCUGCUCCAGCCCAAGAUGCUGCCUCCUGUUUUCUGAGAAAUAAGAAGGCAGGUCUAUUCCUGUUAUCUUGGGACUCAGCAGGGCAGCCCUGUUCUUUAACAAGACAAUCUUUCAAUUUAUGUGACUUGCAUAUUUUAGAGUAAAUUCUGUUAAUAUGCAAGCACUAAUACUGUAAUACAAUCAUUUCUACUUCCUGCCAGUGUUUUAUGUCUAAGGCGGCAGCUCAGUGCAGAAAGAAAUUUAGGUAGGCAAGGGAAUAACACUGCUUUCCCUUCAUGCUCAACAAUGUGCCACCUGACAUGGGAUUCUUUUCAGUUCAUUUGUUUGUAAUUUAAACCAAUUCCUGGCUCAGCAUUGGCUCAUGCCUGUAAUCCCAGCACUUUGGGAGGCCGAGGUGGGAGGAUCACUUGAGCCCAGGAGUUCGACACUAGCCUGGACAACAUAAGGAGGCCUUGUCACUACAAAAAUAAAAAUAAAUAAAUAAAAUAAAAUUAGCCGGGUGUGAUGGUGCAUGCCUGUGAUCUCAGCUACUUGGCAGGCUGAGAUGGGAGGAUCACUCAAGCCCAAGAGAUAGAGGCUGCAGUGAGCCGUAAUUGUGUCAUUGCACUCCAGCCUGGGCAACAGAGCAAGACCCUGUCUCAAGAAAGAUACAGUAAAAUAAACAAAUUUUUGACUGGGAAAUGUCUGUUAAAACAUCAGGAAGACUCCCAAAUAAAGGAAAGGACUAUCACCAUCAACCUCAAAUUGAAAAUUAAAUCAUUUUUCAAUGUCUUGAAAAAUCAUACAGAAUCUCUACAAGUUUUGGCUUUGCCUUAAUAAUAGUCAGUACACUGGCCAACGAUGGCACCAAGAUUAAAGGAGGAGGUGAGUCUGGAAACACAUGAACUUGACCUUCUACAAUCGAUUUCCUGUGAGGGAGACUCUGGACAUGGGCAAAGCUUUAAGCCAAAGAUCUGUGAUGCUCAAGGCUCAUCCAGGCAUUGGCAGUGUAUUCAAUGUAUAAAAAAAAUUCUUUUAUUUCCAAUGACCUGUUUUAUGUUAAUUUUAUUGUGAUGUAGAAAAAUAACUAGUGUGUCCUUCAACUUACUUGCCAAAACCUACUCUUUUAAAUAUUUUCUCAGGAGAAAAGUCAUUUUAAUUUUAACUUAAAAAAAAAAAACCACAACUUUUCAGGUAAAUUGCCAAACAGAUGUUUAGUGCUUAGAGUCUCAGGGCAGCCUUUGUGUUGUGGUUGCAAACAUACCUAUCUUCUAGAUCAGAGGUCAGGAAACUACAUCUCUGUGUCACAAACACAACUGCCAUGUGUUUUUGUAAAUAAAGUUUAGGAUAACCACAGUCAUUCAUUGCAUAUUGUCCACUGUCUACUGUCUACAUAUAUUGUGUACUGUCUCUGGGUGCCUUCCCUGCUAUGGCAGAGUUGAGUAGUUGAGAUAGAGACAGCAUAGCCCACAAAGCUUAAGAUAUUUGCUCUCUAGCCCUUGACAAAGAAGUUUGCCAACUCCUAAUCUAGUAGAGGCAAGUUUCUGUUAUAAAGUCCAUACUUAUGUUUACUCAUGAAUGCACCCAUUCUUUUAGAAUAACAUGGAUCAUAGUGUACAUAAUAAACUGUUCCAAAAUGGCAAUAUGGUUUAGUGACCAUAUAUUAUUGUCACCAUUUCCCUUAUUAUGUUAACUUCUAUUAGAUGAAAAUGCUAUUCUGUAAAAUAGAAUUAUGAAACAGUAUACACAGCACAGUGUGAGAGUCAAUGGCAAGACAUUGCACACAAUGAAACCCAGUGAAAUGUGAAGAGGCUAACCGGGAAGUCUCCGUAAGUGCAUAUAUUUCACAGCUGUGGUGCUAAGAGACAGAUUGCUUGGAAUGCCAUGGGUAGACAAAGCCAAACAAAAAUGAGAGCAUGAGGAAAUUUUUCUGGUGAAAACAAUUUUUCCUUACAAAUUUGAAAUAUUUUCCCUUUUAUGUUAUAUUCUUUUUUUCCCCUUUUGAAGUAACAUGGCUUCAUCCUCUGCCAAAUGUAUUCCUUCCCACCCCUACCCCACUUUUGGUUUCUUCAAUAAAUAAAAAUUGAUUCCUUCACCUCGUUCACAUGGACAGUUUCACAAGCUUAUAGUGCAUGUUGAAAGAAGUGUUGGAUUGAUUUUUUUUCAGUAGAUGAAAACAGUAAAAUUGUUAAACUGCAUUAAAAAAUUUUCCAUAUAAUUGAAGGUGAAGGCAUCAAUAAGCAAAGCACUUUUAAGGCAAUACUAAAGUUCUCAGCCUUUGGACUGUAUUGCUUUUCUUCUCCCCAUCACGGGGAAUGAGAUCCAUUCUUGGCUGUUUAGUAUUCUGUAAUGAAAGGAAAAGUCGCUCCCACAUUUUUUGGGGUAGAGAAGGGGUUGUUAGUCAGCAGGACUAUCAAACAACAGUAGUCAUUGCUGUUGCCUGGGCUUUUGAGGGGACCAAAGGAGACCAAACCGAAAGGUUCUGUAAAGUCUUUAAGUGAAAGAUGUUGCUGUUAUCAUCUGAUUUAGUCAUCGAAACCUCCUAAGAACCUCUACAGAGGUUUGAGAUGGGGAAGGAAGGAAGUGAAAGUAAAAUCAAGCAUUUCUGUGACUAUUUAAAGCCACCCUAGGAAUAAGCCUUGCAUGGUAAAGAGUUGAAAUUGAAUGAGGCUUUCAGUUUUCUGUGGGUUUCACUGAUUCACAUUAGCCCAAGGGCUUUUUGUGUCUCCCCAUGUAGCAGUAGUUACACCCCUGGUUGGCAUGAGAUAAAAUCCUGCCGUGCACACAGAAACCAACUUCUUAGGCAUUAGUCAGGGUCUCUCUGAAGUAAAAGUGCCUGAGCCACUUCCGUUUUUUUAUUUUUAAUACUCAUGAUGUGUUAGAAAGUGAAGAAAUGCCAAGACAGACUUACAAACAUUGUGGUAUACUUUUUAAUGUUUAUGUUUAAGAAAUUAGUAGUCUUAACACAUGCAUUUAAGUAAGUGCAAUGUAAUUAUUUUGCUUUUCAAAAGAUUUACAACAUAAAGAAGCAUUUCUACAGGGUAUACUAUAGGCAGUGGGACCCAAGUUUAAGGUUGUAUGAGGGACGACUCCCUCCAGUCAGAUGAGUGAAAGUUACUGCACAUAUAAUCUCACUUGGGGAUGAUGUCAAAUGUCCAUGUCUGCGACCCUGUCUAAACUAGGAGGCUGGGCUAAAAGGCUCCCUUGCCCUCCUUCUCCCAGCUCCCCCCACCCACUGCCACCACUGAGACCAGAUCGUAAGUACACAAUUAUGCCUGUGUGGGGAAGUGGGGAGGAGAAACACAAGGGAUGAUGGAGAGGUCCAUUAUGUACUCCUUACACAAAUAUUUUUCAAGUGCAUACUAUGUGCAGAGGUAAGAAGAUAGUACCAUAGUUAAACUCAUACUUAGGGUUUAAAUCCUGGCAGUGUUAUUCCCUACUUGAGUUAUAAAACUUCUCUAAGCCUUAAUUUUCUCAUCAGUUAGCUCAUUUGUGAGGUGCUUCAUUAGUUGUUAUGAGGAUUAAAUGACUUACCCAUAUAAAGUUAUCUGAACAGCACCACCUUGCACUGUGAGCAAGCAGUAUAAAAGUUCUUGACCUCAGGGAGCUUAAUUUCCAUCUCCCUCACUGCAUUUUGCUCUCAGCUCUCCCGUCUGCAAGCUGGUCUACCUGAAACAACUGCCUUGCAAUAUCAAAAGAUAUCUGAUAAAACGGGUAAAUAUAGCUCCACUGAUGAGGACAAAAAAAAAAUCAGCUGUAUUAAGGAAAUUCUCUUAAAAAGUCAUUAAUCUUCCAUUCAACAAGCAACAAUGUGUGUUAGACACUGUUCGGGGAAUGCUGAUAUUGUAGUGAACAAACCAGGUGUGGUUCUGCACUCAUGGGUGGGAAAGAUAUUGGAUACAUACAUUGUUCUGCACAAUGUAAACAUUUUGUUGCAGUAUGAAGUGCAUACAGAAAGUGCACAAAUAAGUGCACAGCUCAACUCAUUUUCAUGAAAUGAAUGCACACAUAUAAUUAGUACCCAGUCCAAUAAUCGGAAUCUUACCAGAACCCCAGAUGCCUUCUUGUGCCUCCUUCCACUCACAGUCACUUCCAAGGGUAAAUAUUAUACUCAUUUCUGUUAGGGUGGUCCAAAAGUAAUUGCAGCAUUUACCAUUAAAGUAAUGUGCAGUUUUCCUGCACACAUUACUUUAAUGACAAAAACCACAAUUACUUUUGCACCAACCUAAUAAAAGUCAGUAUAGUAUUCACUGCCAGGAUUCGAACUCUAAAGUAAUGGCAAAAGCCGCAAUUACUUUUGCACCAAAAUAAUACAACCACAGAUUACUUUUUCCUGUUGUAAUACUUUAUGAAAAAGGAAUCCUGACGUACUCUUUUGUAAUGGGCUUUUUUUUUUUCACUCAACAUUAUGUUUGUGAGAGUCAUCCUUUUUUUGUAUGUAGCUAUAGUUUAUUUAUUCUCAUUCUUGCAUAUUGUUCUCCUAUAUUGUAUGAAUUUACCAUGAUUUUUGUAUCCAUUCUAUUGUUGAUGGACAUUUGGGUUGUGUCCAGUUUGGGAAUAUUACAAAUACUGCUUAUGUUACUAUUAAUGCUGUUAACAUUCUUGUUCAUGCCAUUUGUUAGAUAUACAUAUGUAUUUCUGUUGGGCAUAUUUUUAGGAGUGGAAUUGCUGAGUAUAAGGUAUGGGUAUGUUCAGUUUUAGUAGAUACUGUCAAACAGCUUUCCAAAGUAGUUGUAACAAUUUACACUCUGGUCAGCAGAAUAAGAGAGUUCUGGUUGCUUUAUAUUGUCUGUCUUUUUCAUUUUAGUCAUUUUGGAGGGUAUGUUGUAGUUUUUGCAUUAUGAUUAAAAACAUUUUUUUUUUUCAGAGACAGGGACUUGCUCUGUUUCCCAGGCUGGAGUGCAGUCGUGUGAUCAUAGCUCACAGCAGCCUCGAGCUCCUUGGUUCAGGCAAUCCUGCCACCUCAGCCUCCUGAGUUACUGGGACUGCAGUCCUCCCAGCUCAACCUCUCCUGAGUCACUGGGAUUUUUCCAUUUUAAUUUUCAUCUGUGCUUUCCUAAUGACUAAUGGAGUGCCUUUUCAUAUGUUUAUUUUCUGUUUGAACAUCUUCUCUCAUAGAGUAUCUAUUCUGACAUUUGCCCAUUUUUCUAUUGAGUUAUUUUCCUGUAUCUCACUGAUUUGAAGGAGUGCUUUAAAUAUUCCAGAUAAUAGUCCUUUGUUAGAUAUAUGUUUGAAAAUCUCUCUCUCAGUGUAUGGCUUUUUACUCUCUUAAUGGUUUUGAAGAACUGAAGCUCUUAAUUUUAAUGUAGUCCAAUUGAUCAAUUUUUUCCCCUUCACAGUUACUGCUUUUUGUGUUUUAAGAAAUCUUUGCCUGAGACAGUUCUUGUGGAAACAGCUAGUGCAACACUGAGAAACUGUUGUACAUUAUGUUGCCUAGAGUACAAACAGCACAGUCAGGAUAGCUAAAUGUGACCCCAAGAAACCAAAAGGCAAGAUGUCUGCUCAUGCCUUCUUUAUGAAGACAAUGCUGGGAGGAAAAUACAAAUAAUAAUCCAGAGGCCUCUGUAAACUGCAGUUUCCAAGAAGUGGAAAUACACUGACAGGUGGAAUACAAUGUGUGGUGAAAGAGAAAUACAAAUUUGAUGAAAUGGUGUGGUAUACUAUGAGCAGGAAAUAAAGGAUUAUAGACCAACUAAGGGAGGCAAGAAGAAAGAUGAUAACACCCUCCUCUCAUGCUCCACCUUCCUCUUCUACUUAGAUCUCUGCCCAAUAGUAAAUCCACAAAUUUAGGCAUUUCUACUGGAGAUGUGGCCAAAAACCUGGAUGACUGUUAUGUAUGUAGAAUUCCUAAAAUGCCCCCAUAAAGAUAUUUCCCCCUAAUCCCGGGAACCUGGGAAUAUGAUGAGACAUCACUCACUAGUGUGGUUGUCAUAUUUCAUGGCAGGGUUAGGUAAUCUCCUUAAGAUAGGAGAUUAUCUUGGAGGAUCCAAUUUAAUCACAUGAGACCUUUUAAGCAGAGAGCUUUUUCCAGCUGGUGGCAGAAGAAGUCAGAGAGAUUUGAAGAGUAAAGGGGUUAUGGCUUGAAGUUGCAGCAGGCCCACCUGAGAAGGAAUUCAGGAAACCUUAAAAGACCUGAGAGAGGCCCUGGUCAACAGGCAUCAAGGAAAGAGGAUCCUCAGUCCUACAACCACAAGGGACUGAAUUCUUCCAGCAACCUGUGUGGGCCUGGAGGUGAUGUCUACUUAGAGCCUCCAGGUGAGGACCCAGCUUGGCUGAUGGCUUGGUUCCCGCCUUGUGAUUCCCUGAGAGGAGAACCAGGUGACAUCGUGCUGGACUUUGUUAAAAGCUGUUAAGUGUGUGGUAAUUUGUUAUACAGUGACAGAAAACUAAAACAUGCAGGAUAAUUUUAGUGAUGAUGAAAAGCUACCUUAUAACAAAGUUGAAGGAGAUGUAUAGGAAGUAGGUGGCCAACUAUAAUCUAAAGCAAAGGGAUGGUGAUAGAAUUUGGCUAUUUGUCCUCACCCAAGUCUCAUGUGGAAUUGUAAUCCCCAAUGCUGGAGGAGAGGCCUGGUGGGAGGUGUUUGGAUCAAGGGGGCGGAUGCCUCAUGAAUGGCUUGGGCCAUCCCCUUGGUGGUAAGUGAGCUCUCACUCUGAGUUCACACAAGAUCUGGGUGCUCAAAAGUGUGCGGCAGCUCCCCUGUAACCCAUGCUCUCUCUCUUGCUCCCAUUCUUGCCAUGUGAAGCGUCUGCUUCUCUUUUGCCUUCCGCCAUGGCUGGAAGCUUCCUGAGGACCCCCCCAGAAGCAGAUGCCACUAUGCUUCCUGUAUAGCCUGCUGAACUGUGAGCCAAUUAAACCUCUUUUCUUAUAAAUUA
Long non-coding RNA from Pan troglodytes (chimpanzee), 22074 nucleotides. RefSeq lists it as uncharacterized. The transcript is spliced from 2 exons. NCBI's taxonomy places the organism in Eukaryota, Metazoa, Chordata, Mammalia, Primates, Hominidae. The record is from RefSeq and is a predicted model, not a curated record.